GCAAUGAAGAAGCUGACACUAACCGAUGUUGCCUAUAGAUUGGCUCUUCCAACUCAUUUUUUUAAGCGUCUUCUUCUUCCACGUUUCGUUGGGACAUCGCAUUUUGUUGAUUUGAAGGUGAAGUACAAGAACCAGAAGCUGGACUUCCGUUGCACCAAAAGGAAGAAGGGUGAGUAUGAUAAGCCUGUGCUUACUAAGGGUUGGCUUGAUUUUGUUCGGC
This 220-nucleotide unclassified non-coding RNA is filed under the name Hevea brasiliensis (rubber tree). Lineage: Eukaryota; Viridiplantae; Streptophyta; Magnoliopsida; Malpighiales; Euphorbiaceae. The record is from RNAcentral.